UGAGGAAUAUUGGUCAAUGGACGCAAGUCUGAACCAGCCAUGCCGCGUGCAGGAAGACGGCUCUAUGAGUUGUAAACUGCUUUUGUACUAGGGUAAACUCAGAUACGCGUAUCUGACUGAAAGUAUAGUACGAAUAAGGACCGGCUAACUCCGUGCCAGCAGCCGCGGUAAUACGGAGGGUCCAAGCGUUAUCCGGAUUUAUUGGGUUUAAAGGGUGCGUAGGCGGUUAGAUAAGUUAGAGGUGAAAUACCGGUGCUUAACACCGGAACUGCCUCUAAUACUGUUUAGCUAGAGAAUAGUUGCGGUAGGCGGAAUGUAUGGUGUAGCGGUGAAAUGCUUAGAGAUCAUACAGAACACCGAUUGCGAAGGCAGCUUACCAAGCUAUUUCUGACGUUGAGGCACGAAAGCGUGGGGAGCAAACAGGA
This 425-nucleotide ribosomal RNA is filed under the name uncultured bacterium. RNAcentral's name for it is "bacterial SSU rRNA". It matches the Rfam family "Bacterial small subunit ribosomal RNA", at positions 355 to 777 of the family's 1533-position model. The record is from RNAcentral.